Molecule: long non-coding RNA, 410 nt
Filed under: Homo sapiens (human)
Lineage: Eukaryota; Metazoa; Chordata; Mammalia; Primates; Hominidae
Description: HSALNT0132486
Source: RNAcentral
CAUGCAAGGGAAACAACCACUUCUGGGAUGUCCGCUGCAAUCUGCUCCGGGGCUGCAGCAACCUCAUCAGCUCUUGCCUGGAGUGGCUCAGCCUGGGCCUGCAGGGUGACCAGAGAGGGCAGACAGCAGUCCUCUGUCCCAGGUCUUCUAUAGCAAGGAGCAGCCGUGCACAAGUGGACUUCCCCUAUUUAAAGGUCUUUUGGGAUGAGGUGUCCUAAUUUCCGGGGUUACUUUCUGUUGGGUCCAUUAAAUAAUUGUGGUGGCAAGGACAGUUGAGAAAUUUGGUGGGAAGGUGAGGUUAAAGUAGAACUCCACAGAGGAACCUCUCAUCUACCUUGGUCAGCCCUGGCCAGGCCCAGGCAGCAACCAACUAUGGAUUCUCAAUGGCUCCUAACACAGUUGACCCUGUG